RNAcentral lists this ribosomal RNA (252 nucleotides) under uncultured bacterium. RNAcentral describes it as "partial 16S ribosomal RNA". It matches the Rfam family "Bacterial small subunit ribosomal RNA", at positions 524 to 776 of the family's 1533-position model. The record is from RNAcentral.
UACGUAGGGGGCAAGCGUUAUCCGGAUUUAUUGGGUUUAAAGGGUGCGUAGGCGGGAUGCCAAGUCAGCGGUAAAAAUGCGGUGCUCAACGCCGUCGAGCCGUUGAAACUGGCGUUCUUGAGUGGGCGAGAAGUAUGCGGAAUGCGUGGUGUAGCGGUGAAAUGCAUAGAUAUCGCGCAGAACUCCGAUUGCGAAGGCAGCAUACCGGCGCCCUACUGACGCUGAGGCACGAAAGCGUGGGUAUCGAACAGG